Galleria mellonella (greater wax moth) is the source of this 3048-nucleotide long non-coding RNA. RefSeq lists it as uncharacterized. The transcript has 4 exons. The record is from RefSeq and is a predicted model, not a curated record. NCBI's taxonomy places the organism in Eukaryota, Metazoa, Arthropoda, Insecta, Lepidoptera, Pyralidae.
AACCGGUUAUAUAAAUUACAGCCUUAUAUAUACGAAUAUAUACCAAUUUAAAUGCCAGAUCAGUUAAAACGACAAGGCUAACGUUAUCGAGCGAAAAUCGACACGUCUUAUGUAGGCCAAGCGACAAGCGAGAUAGCAUGAGAGUAUUCCUACAUUUCCAGUAGCGCGAUUUACUGUGAUAGUUUCGUUUUCACGACCCAAUGGUUCCGUUGUUCGCGCUUUUAUUUGACUAUUCUGGUUGUCUAAUGGUCGGAUCGUGACCAUUUAGUGAGAUCUUUGAUAGUUUAAUAGGUCGCUUCCCGUGGACCGUGUCGUUGCAAGAUAGAGGGGAGCAACGUGGAUCUUAGUAAGUUGGUCAUGCUUCAGCUCGUCGUGUAGAUUGGCAGCGCGUGACGUCCGCACUCCAUAAUCAGCUGCGGGCAAUCUAUUGCGCAACCAACGCAUCGCGACAAACUUGAGCUACUUGGUAAUUCAGUAGACACGGUAUUUACUUUCUCAAACUCCAUAUAAAUGUAAUCGCAUUGGUCACUGAGGUUGGCGAAACUUUCUUGGCCUUUAUUUGUUACAUAAAUGUAGAUAUGCCAAAAUGGGUUUUGUUAUAUUACAGUUGCAGACUAAAGUAUGUAUAAAGUGUGAUUUAUGUGGAAAGCGAAAUUAACUCCGGCGCUUCCUGGGUAAUUAGAUUACCGUACUAUAAACCGGUUGACUAAGGGUUCUUAUAGACGAGCGGUACUUUGCCAAGGGCAAUGAUAACUGGCAAGCAACGACAUUCGAUUAGGUAUUGCUGUCGAGGCACAUUUACUUCUUCUGUUUCUAAAGUGCGCUUCAUUUAUACCUACCUGAUCAUUCAACCACGAUGGUUAUCUAAAGGUAGAUUUUGACAUAUCAAUAAAAAUAACACUUAGUUUAGUAAAAGUUAAAAAGUUCUACAAACGUAUUUUUUGUCUUUUGCAAAUCAAUUUCUGCGCAAAAAAUAUCAUGUGAUAGUUUUGUUUGUUUAGUUGUGGUCCUAAAAUUUAUACAAUGGAAAAUUAAUAUUAUUUUCAAUAUUACUUAUCAGAUUUAACUUAUAUGUAAAAUUCUUCCUCUAUCCUAUUUACUGUACCCAACAGGGUCCAUAAAUGAAGUUGAAAUGUUAUUUACCAAUCACAUUAUGGAAUGCAAUAAGAAAUAAAUAAAUAAAUACAAAUUUAGUCUUUAAUUUCUGGUUGGUUCAAAUACAUGGAGUUAAAUUACUCAUAUUUUUCAGUAUUAUAGUGAUAUGUAUACAAUAUAAGCCUCAGUUAUCAGAUAAUGUACUGAUGUUUGUGUUUAAUAAUACCAUACAUUUUAUAAAUCACCCCAUUAUCAGACACGAAUCUUAUCAUGCGUACGCUUUUGAGUUUACUAUUGACAAAGUAAACGUAAUGACAGCGAAUUCAAGGAACAUAAUAUAAUAAAAUUAAAUUAUGUGUUUUUAUAUGUUCGUUUCGAACCUUGUAUUUUAUUAAUUGAUCUAUACGUAGAAAAUGUUUUGUAAUAAUAUAAUGUUGUAAUAAAUUAUAAGCUUAUUACUAAUUCAACUAAUGUUUGUUUUCCUCUAACAUUAUAAGUAUAACUACUUCAUGUAUAAAUUUUGCAUGAGUAAUUUUAUUCACUGUAUUAAAUAUAAAAUAUAUACCUACAAGUUCAUAUCAGUUAGAAAUCCACUAAUGCAUUAUAAUUGAAAUAUAAGAGAAUAACUUAAAAUUAAAAACUAACUUCAGCAGUGAAGUUCUACAGAUGCAUGAAAACUGGAAUAGCGCUCAUAGCGGAAAGUAACUUAGUUUAUUCCUAAACUAAGAACUUUAGUGCAGAAGUUAUUAUGGGUUAAACUUUUUAACAUCCACUCAUACUCAAGACGUUAAAAGGCACAGUAUCAAUAAAAAUAUAAACAUAUAAUAUUUUAUAUGACGUUAUGAAGCCUUGGUUUAAGGUUUAUUGACGUCGAAGUCGUGAACCCUGUGAUAUUUUUCAUCAGCAAUUUGUAAACAAAAUAUCUUCCUCUAUUUAACCUUCUUAGGGGACGAAUUUUGAUAAAUUGUCUCUUAUGAUAUAUUCUUGUACAAAAUAUCGUGCUUCAAAGUCUACCGAUAUUUGAUACGAAGCUUUUUUACCUUAAAAGUUUAAAUGAUACCACAGAACAAUAUUAGUGUCUUUUGACUAGAUCUGUCUUUAUAAGAUCUAUAAAUUAAUAUAAAAUGUAGAUAGACAACACGGAAAAUGCAAAAGCAAGUAUUUGCUUCCCUUAACCACUUUAAUGGUAUCUUCAAUCAUAAAAGUAAAAGGAAAAAUAUAAUAAUUUUUAAUAAAAGUAUACUCAUUAAGAAAAGAAAUACUUAGGUACUGCUUUAAUUUAUAAUGGUCUGUAUAAUUAUCACAUAAACACUUUGUGGUAUAACCGUAUGACGUAAGAUAUAUUUGCAUUUAUGGAAUAUCACGAAGCCAGUGAAUCAGUAUAAUAAUAGAAGGAAAACCGUUUCUCGACCGGUUUGUUAUUUUCGCAUAAAAUCCUUAAGUGAACGCCAUCAUUAGCAGGAAAAGAACUGAGAUAAUUAAAUGUGAUAGUUCGAAAAACGAACGCACCGCAUGAAUGUCUACAUAUUUACACAUAUACAAACUUAUUAUUUGUAACUGUCGUGGAUAUUGUUAUUCAUAUGUGGAUCUAAACUGUGGAUUCAAAUGCACUGAUGCCGUCCGGGGCAACACAAUAGAUGCCGUAGACCAGAUAAAAAGUGACCAGAUAUUAUUGCAAAUGUGUGAAACUGGCGACUAGUCUGCUGCCCACAUGUUCCUUGCAGCUGGUGAAGGUUGAAUAACCCUUGUGCAGGCAACUAAUGGAAUUGAAUCAGAAUUACACGCAGUAAACGAUCUGUGUGGCCAGUGAUAUUUUAGUAAUCUUUAUAAGCCAUUUAUAAUUAUAUGCGUUUAGUAAUUAUUAUUAAAUAUAUAUUGUUUUUGUUGAAGUUUACUAAUCUAAAUAACAUCAUCGACUUUAUACAAAAGUGUGUAAACCAUAGUACUUAAAUA